CCUACGGGAGGCAGCAGUGAGGAAUAUUGGUCAAUGGGCGCGAGCCUGAACCAGCCAAGUAGCGUGAAGGAUGACUGCCCUACGGGUUGUAAACUUCUUUUAUAAAGGAAUAAAGUGAGGCACGUGUGCCUUUUUGAAUGUACUUUAUGAAUAAGGAUCGGCGAACUCCGUGCCAGCAGCCGCGGUAAUACGGAGGAUCCGAGCGUUAUCCGGUGUUAUUGGGUUUAAAGGGAGCGUAGAUGGGUUGUUAAGUCAGUUGUGAAAGUUUGCGACUCAACCGUAAAAUUGCAAUUGAUACUGGCAGCAUUGAGUACAGUUGAGGUAGGCGGAAUGCGUGGUGUAGCGGUGAAAUGCUUAGAUAUCACGAAGAACUCCGAUUGCGAAGGCAGCUUACUAAACUGCCACUGACAUUGAUGCUCGAAAGUGUGGGUAUCAAACAGGAUUAGAUACCCGGGUAGUC
This 460-nucleotide ribosomal RNA is filed under the name uncultured bacterium. Its description in RNAcentral is "partial 16S ribosomal RNA". It matches the Rfam family "Bacterial small subunit ribosomal RNA", at positions 338 to 795 of the family's 1533-position model. The record is from RNAcentral.